UCCCUGAUAGCUCAUUUGGUAAAGAAUCUGCCUGCAAUGCAGGAGACCCUGGUUCAACUCCUAGGUCAGGAUG
Non-coding RNA from Bos taurus (domestic cattle), 73 nucleotides. The record is from Rfam. Lineage: Eukaryota; Metazoa; Chordata; Mammalia; Artiodactyla; Bovidae.